GCCUUCGAUAUAGAUUUUGAGCAUAAAAGUAACACAACGCAAAGUAUCGAGUUUUAUUCGUUUAUUACAAUACAUUUUGGUGCCGUGACGCCAUGGAAAGUAAACUGAAAGCGGUGAGAGCAGGCCAUAAAAGUGCUGUAACAAGACUUUUGAGAAAAACGGAAGAAGAGCAGGAUUUGGAGAUAGAAGAAAGUACAGAAUUAUUAGAAACACUUUCGCAAAAACAGAAGAUUAUUAGUGCUUUGAAUGAAGAAAUUCUUAAUUUAACAAAGGAUGAGGAUGUUGAGGAUGAAAUUCUACAGACAGAUGAGUAUAAAUUCUUUC
RNAcentral lists this long non-coding RNA (324 nucleotides) under Mytilus galloprovincialis (Mediterranean mussel). Lineage: Eukaryota; Metazoa; Mollusca; Bivalvia; Mytilida; Mytilidae. The record is from RNAcentral.